GUGAAUCAUCGAAUUUUUGAACGCAAAUUGCACUCUCUGGCAUUCCGGUGAGUAUGUCUGUUUGAGGGUAAGAAUAAUCAAAAUCGGUGCGAUGCCUUUUGGGUGACGCACCGGGGUUUGGGCCUCUUUAACUUUUUUUUUUUAGAGACCUAAAAUUAACAUUCUUUUUUGCUUACUCUUGUGUAGUAUAUAUUUUUUUUUUCUUCGUCUAUCUCGGUG
This 219-nucleotide unclassified non-coding RNA is filed under the name Rhizophagus sp. (in: glomeromycetes). Its description in RNAcentral is "Rhizophagus sp. (in: Fungi) partial contains 5.8S ribosomal RNA and internal transcribed spacer 2". The stretch from base 1 to 71 matches the Rfam family "5.8S ribosomal RNA", at positions 84 to 154 of the family's 154-position model. Lineage: Eukaryota; Fungi; Glomeromycota; Glomeromycetes; Glomerales; Glomeraceae. The record is from RNAcentral.